GAAACGACAGAAAAGUUUCUUCUCUUCUUUUUUCCUCUACUAAUGGACGGACACCAAGCCAUCGAUCGUGAGCUAGUUUCACCAUGGAGUCUUGGGCUUUGGGCAAAGACCCUUACCUCUCCUUGGGCCUGACACCGCCGGCAAUUGCUGCGGAUAGAAAUCGAUCUCUUCUGCUCUCAUUCUUCUAACUUCUCCAGCCUCAGCUGUAACACAAUCUCAAAAAGACGGAGAAAAAGAAAAGUUAGGACUUAACUAGUUGCAAGAGACCUCCUUUUACAACCCUCUUCGUGUGCUCUGCUGUAUUUCCUGCCUGCUCCUGGAAUUCUCCUAACUCCUCCUAAAGGUUUUCCAGGAGUCAACUGGAGACUCAGAUCACUCACAGAGGACUUUGAGUUGAUAAAUAUUUAUUCGCAUAUUCAUAAAGGUGGAGAUCAUAGUAACGGAGAUGACAUAAAUAGGAGGCUUCAAAGACUGAGAGUGCAGUGCUUAUCUUUCCAGUGAUGUAAGAGAAGAGCUGAGGUGGUGAUGAUGGCGAUGGCAUCUUUGAGAUCCUGCGAUGUUUUGUCAGUGGCCCUUAUAUCAAAGAAGAUUUUAUGCAAGUGCUCGAGCAGAGGCUCCCCCUCCAUGUUUGAAGAUCUCCCAGAAGAGAAGAUUUCGGUUGUGCUGUGAAGCGGAACAUCAUGAAUCUCAACCGGGGAAUGAUGAGGCCCGAUUCUCAGUUCACCAAGCAGUCAUCCCCCAACAGGCCUAAUGAGGAAAAUCACCACCUUCCUGCAGGACCAAGAUUAGUGAUUGAUGCACUGGUUUAUGCAUUUCCAGGGUUUGGGAGCUAAGAAGUAAACCAGCAUCCAUGGUGAUAAGGAACAUGACACAAGUCCCUCAAGCCACCUCAAUUCCAUCCAAGGGAUGUGAGAUAUGUCCAUCUGAACAUUUUUGUGUUCCUAAAGGUAUUUAUGAAUUAUAAUUUUGUACUUGCUGUCCAAAUGGCCAGUGUGGAAAACAGAGCUUCAUGUAUCUAAAAGUUUUUCCCAAGCUUCUGCUUUACAUUUUAUUUGUUUACCUCGAGGAAUGAACGUGUAGAAUGGGAGGACACUGUUCAUUGUUUCAGCAAGGAUAACUAGCACUUUCAAAUGAUAAGAAUUCAAUUUUCAAUUCUGAUUUAGCUUUCAUUUCUUGCACCCUCAAAGCCUGAAUAUAAAACGCUUAAAACACGAUCCCUUAAGAAAACUAGCCAAAGGAAUACUCAGUUAUAAGUGCUAUAAAUGGUAAAGACAUUUGGCUGUUUUAAUUUGAAAGAUAAGCAGCAAUAGUGGGAUUCAUUGAGUGCCUAUAGCAUGCAAUGCAUUGUACUAAAGUACCA
Long non-coding RNA from Ornithorhynchus anatinus (platypus), 1360 nucleotides. RefSeq lists it as uncharacterized. NCBI's taxonomy places the organism in Eukaryota, Metazoa, Chordata, Mammalia, Monotremata, Ornithorhynchidae. The transcript is spliced from 8 exons. The record is from RefSeq and is a predicted model, not a curated record.